CCAGCAGCCGCGGUAAUUCCAGCUCCAAUAGCGUAUAUUAAAGUUGUUGCAGUUAAAAAGCUCGUAGUUGGAUAUCGGGCGCGCGCGCAUGGUCCGCCUAACGGUGUGCACCGUGUUUUACUGUCGCGCGUCCUCUUUCCGUAGACCGCGCGGGGUGCUUAACUGCGUCCCGCGCGGGAUGCGGAUCGUUUACUUUGAAUAAAUUAGAGUGUUCAAAGCAGGCUUUCGCUUGGAUACAUUAGCAUGGAAUAAUGGAAUAGGACUUUGGUUCUAUUUUGUUGGUUUCUAGGACCGAAGUAAUGAUUAAUAGGGAUAGUUGGGGGCAUUAAUAUUUAAUUGUCAGA
This 344-nucleotide ribosomal RNA is filed under the name uncultured eukaryote. RNAcentral describes it as "SSU rRNA". It matches the Rfam family "Eukaryotic small subunit ribosomal RNA", at positions 567 to 909 of the family's 1831-position model. The record is from RNAcentral.